Molecule: long non-coding RNA, 623 nt
Filed under: Ornithorhynchus anatinus (platypus)
Lineage: Eukaryota; Metazoa; Chordata; Mammalia; Monotremata; Ornithorhynchidae
Description: lncRNA (ENSOANG00000048344.1)
Source: RNAcentral
CUUGACUCUCUUUUCUUAGUUCUUCUGCUUUUUUUUCCCCAUCUCCUUGUCUCUCUAGGGGUCAGUGAUUUUCAAAAUUUCCACCCAAACUACAAAUGCAUGGCAUAUUUAGAGCGAACUAUUGGAAACAUUUCUUCCCCAUAAGCUGCCAGUGACAUAUUGACCUGGGGAGAUCCAUGGCUUGACAAAGGAGCUGGAGAUUGCUGUGGGGUAAUCUAGAGAAGACAAAAGCUACAUUUAGUGCACUGGAAUGCAGUGAAAUAUGAAAGUUUUGAAGAUGCUGCAUUGGAGGAAAAUGGCUUGGCUGUGAUUGGAGUAUUUUUGAAGAUCCAAACGCUCCUGCUUUGCACUGAGCCUUAUCCCAGGAGAACAUCCCAGCUGUCGGGCAAAUCACAGGCAGCUUCCCCACUCAGCCAGCUCAAUGGAUGAAUGGAAAAUGCUGGGAGUAGCCGUUGAUAAAGCCACCCUUCAGUGAUGAAACUUUAAGGGCAAAGAUCUUGUAGGAACAGCUCUUAAUUAAUAGCAGAAGAGUUGAGAAGGGAAGGGGGAGGCCUGGAUAUCUUUGGAAGAAAAGGAAGAAAUAUUCCUGAGCACAAAAGAAUAACUUAGCAGACUCAUUGAAG